AUGUGCUUGCUUCAGCCACAUAUAAACUAAAACUGGAGCAAUACAGAGAAGAUCAGCAUGGCCCUUGUGCAGGGAAUUACAUGCAAAUUCAUGAAGCAUUCCAUACUUUU
Protopterus annectens (West African lungfish) is the source of this 110-nucleotide small nuclear RNA. Lineage: Eukaryota; Metazoa; Chordata; Ceratodontiformes; Protopteridae. The record is from RefSeq and is a predicted model, not a curated record.